UCUCUGCUUAGUAGUCUGACCCAUUUUUUUCCAACCUGUCCGUUUUAAAUCACAAAUAUGGAAUGGAAAUUUCCCUAGCCUCUUUCUCCUAAGAGUGUCCGUUCAGCCUGCAAUUCCGAGGAAACAUCUCGAAAACAAGGCUGUGGGCACAAAGCAAGCUCAAGCGGAAGUUUUAGGCUUGGAAAAACAGAGGGGCUCUGAGCCCUCGAGUGUGCCCUGGACGGCGACUUACCAAAGCCGAGUAUCGAAUGCUGUCAGCUGUCUGGGUGUCUGCAAACUUCAGGACUGGUGAGCCCCGAAGUUGCUGUACGGUUUGAAGGUCCUGGGUACACAGACAGCGCUGGAAUGACGAACCUGGGACCUGGAAGGACCCACAUACAAGUUCUAUAUAGGUUCCAAUGGACUUUUCCAGCCACUUCUUUUGUAUUCAGUACUUUGGGAUGACUCUGUACAUAGAUGAAACCAAUAAUGUACUACAGGUUCCAACUGAGAAGAGAAAGUAUGGUUGACUGAGGUUACGAAAAGCAGAAAGCAAUUCAAAUAGACAAACCCCUCUACCAGGAAAAGAUGAGUGGCCUUUCUCCCAGUCUUGGUUGGUAUCAGCUUUAAACCAUGUCCAUCAAACAGUCUUCACAAGGGUCCGGAGAACCUCUUCAUCUCCUUGCUUCUAUGAAAUCCUCUCAUUAUUUGGGUAAGGCCACUCUUAGGAUCAUUGGUUGCUAUUCUCACCCUCUCUUUUAUACUACCAUGUCUGUUUCAGUAUUUACAGGAUGUGAUAAUGGAACGAAUCAAGGCCUUCAACAACCAGGCAGUCAACCAAAUGCUGCUUCAGGGAUAUACUCGGCUCCCCAUCCAGGAGACGGCAGCUUGAGACAUCACCCCACAUGUCUCUAAAGAGGAAGUAGCUCUAAAGACAGAUCAUCGUCCCUCUCCCCCUCCUGUACUUUAAUGUAAUCCCAUACAACUCCUGCUUUAUAAAAAAAAAAAAAAAAAAACAAAAGGGGGAAUGUUAGUAAAAUGGCACAAUCUACACCCCAGCACCAUUCUAGGCUCUGCCGCUGCCACCAUGGCUGGAAGCCAGGUGGCCCAACCACUGGUGUCAGCUCUAUCCCCACCCUAACAGGAUUCACUGCUCCUACUUCCCUGUCUGCCUCCUGACAAAGUUUUAAAAGGACCUGUUCCUGAACAUGGGGCUCUCUUUCUGUCUCCCUCUUGUCCUUAUUUGCCCCUUCCCUCCAGUCUGUCAAGUUUCCCCCAAUAAACUCUUUCCCUUAAAAAAAAAGUGAUAGCUGCAUAAGUAGUAUACCAGUAGCUUGAUAAUGCAUGUCUUCUCAGUAUAGUCACACAUUAAAAACUACAUUUUCCUGAGGAACACAUGUGACUAUAGAAGCAACAGUGGGGGUUAAGUGGGUGUUUGA
Lepus europaeus (European hare) is the source of this 1418-nucleotide long non-coding RNA. RefSeq lists it as uncharacterized. The transcript has 4 exons. The record is from RefSeq and is a predicted model, not a curated record. Lineage: Eukaryota; Metazoa; Chordata; Mammalia; Lagomorpha; Leporidae.